GGUGCGGUGGCUGAGUGGCCGAAAGCACUCGACUUGAAAUCGAGCAGGCCCGCAAGGGCCUCGGGGGUUCGAAUCCUCCCCGCACCG
RNAcentral lists this transfer RNA (87 nucleotides) under Phycisphaerales bacterium. RNAcentral describes it as "tRNA-Ser". It matches the Rfam family "tRNA". Rfam says of the family: Transfer RNA (tRNA) molecules are approximately 80 nucleotides in length. Their secondary structure includes four short double-helical elements and three loops (D, anti-codon, and T loops). The record is from RNAcentral. Lineage: Bacteria; Pseudomonadati; Planctomycetota; Phycisphaerae; Phycisphaerales.